AGUAACUAUUAAGAGCGACUAGUGUGUUCUUUGGCGAACUAAAUAUACAAUAUUUUACGACACUUGAAUUGCUAUUUUAUUUACUUGCUAUUUAUGCAUAGCAAAAGCGAAUUGAAAAGCUAUCACCGAAACUACAAACACAACGUUUGGGCCUUCACGGCCUACAUUGAAAGUCACGUGGGGAAUAUAUAUCGCCAUAUUUUCAUAUAUUACCUUGUUUUCUGACCCGUUUAAACGGUUUGCUAAAACAGACCCAUUUGAAAAAUCUUGGAGCUUGAUCCAUCAGACUUCAAUAUUUAAGAAUGGCUUUUUUGUUUGAUCCUGUAGAACUUCAUAUUGAAAAG
Dendronephthya gigantea is the source of this 344-nucleotide long non-coding RNA. RefSeq lists it as uncharacterized. The record is from RefSeq and is a predicted model, not a curated record. The transcript has 3 exons. Lineage: Eukaryota; Metazoa; Cnidaria; Anthozoa; Malacalcyonacea; Nephtheidae.